This 3059-nucleotide long non-coding RNA is filed under the name Sarcophilus harrisii (Tasmanian devil). Its description in RNAcentral is "lncRNA (ENSSHAG00000030226.1)". The record is from RNAcentral. Lineage: Eukaryota; Metazoa; Chordata; Mammalia; Dasyuromorphia; Dasyuridae.
AGAAAUUAAGCACGUAAGGUACCUUCAUUUGUGAAUAAAGUUUUCUAAAUGUUAAUGUCCUGCACCAAAUUACUCAGACAUGCUCUUAAGUAUCCUAGCAAUCUUGAAAGAAUAUGACUAUAAUAUUCAGGAAGAGUCCACACUGAAAAAAUUUUAAUGACUUUAAAAUGGUCUUUCUUAGAAAAGUUAUAAUGAUAUUCUGCUCCAAACUUUCAAUAUAUAUUCCCUUCAAUUCCAAAGCAGGAAAAAAGGUGCUAGCCAGGCUCAUUAGGAGAUAAGGAAGAGAAUAUUUUGCCCCAAGGGUAUGGAAGAAAGAAGUGUGACUGGCCUAAUGAAUAUUUCUAUGUCAGAAACCCUCUUCUUAUAACUCUCAGCACAUAUUAUACCUCAGCUCUCUCUAUGUGUUGAGGGGAUGAUUUUCAUUGCUAGGCUUUUAUCUUUUGAAUCAGUUUCAGUAUCAUGUGUUUUCCCAUAGUGCCACAAGUGACUUGAAUUAGGAAGUUUUCCUUUUCUAGAUCCUAGCCUUAGAAAGAAUAACUUGAUCCAACAAUGGUCUUAAAAAGUUGCUCAGAAAGUAGGUAAGUGAUAUUUAUAAAAUCUGAACUUCAAAUUGAACCUCCUAGAGUAGUAAUCAUAGGGCUCCUAAAAGUCAAUAUGUCCAAAUUCCUUGAUACAGUAGCAAGCAGUAAUUAUACUGCAUUAUAAGAGCCAUUAUCUACAUGAAUAAUAUGUUCAGAAAUAUUCUAAGAAUGAUUUGCACAUUGGCUAAAAAUUCUGGUUUAUCUAACAAGUGUGCACCAGUUCCCCAUGGAAAUAGGAUGAAAUACUGAUAUACACCAACACCUAAUCCAGAAAUCAAUAAAUGGCAUCAGAGUUGCCAUGUCAGGACAAUUUCAUCAAAAGAAAUUCUUUUCCACUUGAGUUGUGAUGGGGUUUUCCAAGCCCCCCACAGUUAUUGCUGGUAUUUUUGCUAUACCUGAUUUCCUAAAGGUCUCAUAUAGCUUUAUCUAUUUAAGCUAAAUUUUGUAGCCAUGGACAAAUGAAAAAAAAAAAAGAUGGCCAGAUGCCUUUCAUUUCUAAUUUCAUAAGGAAAAACAUUCUUUCCUCAAUAUCAAAGAGAUUGUUUAUCCUUUAUAUAUAUUCUUCAUAGAGACAAUUUGGAUUCUUUAAAAUCCUGUGGUACUACAGCUUGGUCUAUCUCACUUGGAAAAUAGAUGGGUCAAUUUAAUAGCAUUUACCCAUGGAUUGAAUAAACUCUAGUAAUGAAGCUUACUACCCUAUUCCCACCACUAUCACCACUCUUUAUUCCCUCUUCUAACACCAUCCUAUUUUCCAGAUACUUAUGUGAACAGGGAUAUUCUACCAAAGGGAAAAAUUUAGAGUCAUUUUGGUCCACAACUUCUUCAUCAAUUAAGCCAUAAUCAUGUCAAUACUUUUAACAAGAAUACCUAGCAGUCCAAGAGAAACCAAACUCUAGACUCAGAACAUCAUGGAGGCAAUAAGGUUAUUACUUGGCAUUAAGACUUAGAAUUUUAUACUAGACCAAAAAUGUAUUUCUUUUCUCUGGCAAGAAUAAAUUAAGAUAAAUGAUUUCCAAGAGAAGGACUUUCCACAUUUGUAUUUUUAAGCAUCAGCAGAGUGUCUAUCAAAUUACCUUUCAUUCUGCUAUGAAUAGUAUGCCUCAACCUUACAAACUGAAUCAAUCCUGCAAAGGAAUAAAGUCUCAGGAAUUUUGGGAAUGGGAAUCUUUUAAAGCCUAGUCCUCCACAGAUUGUGGGAAAGAAAUAAUGUAGGAAAAGAAACACUUCAGAGGUUAUCUCAAUAUCACAAUAACACUACAAUAAUUACAUUUAGAGCCACUAUUAGAAACUAUCAUGCACAAGACAUUUUCCUAUUUCCUGUAUAAGAUAUUAUAGAUUCUUGCUGCCUGGACACAUUAUAAAGCAUCUUAUUUAUGUACAGGUUUUCUCUUUUACUAGAAUGUGAGCUCCUAAAGGGCAGGGAUUCGUUUUUGCUUGUUUGAGGGUUUUUGUUUUUCACCCUUUUUGUAUCCCUAGUGCUUAGCAUAGUGCCUGACCUAUAUAACAAGUGCUCAGUAUAUGCUUGUGAAUUAAUCAAUAAUCACAUUGGAAGUAAACACGUGGAAAAAGGAUAAACUUUGCAGAAGAUGCUCUGGAAAAUUUAGAAUUGGUUGAUGAGAAGAUGUUUCACAAUGUGAAUUAUUUGGGAAAUAUUAUAAAUAGUAUUCUGCAUCAUGUUCUUUAUGAAAAAAGUGGCCAAUAAACUUUAUACUAAUAUUCUCAACCACCAGAUCAUACUUGCAAGUUUUGAAAGAGUAUGAGUUCCUUGAAUGCAAAUGGGCUGUGACUAGCACAGUGGCUGGUAUAUAGGAAGUGAUGAAUAAAUGCUUUUUGAUGAAUUGAUUAUGAGAUAGAACACUGAAAACAGCCUGAAGAUUACCUCCAGUGUCACCCAUUACCUGGAUAAAAGCAAUGUUAAGGGGGAAGAGACUGUACAACAUACCUUAGUUUGGCAGUAUAAUAGCAUUGGAACAGGGUUGGAGUGAUUAAAAGAAUCUGAGGAAAGAAAUGUAAUGAAAAGAUUUCUUUGCCCUACUAUUACUACUAUCAUAACAUACCAAGUAUAAAGAGGUGCCUUAGCAAAAGGUUGGACUUUUUAUCUUUGAAGUUUUUAUUUUUGUCUUAAGCUUUUAAUAUAUAAUUUCUUCCUAGCAAUAAAGGGAAUACACAAUACAUGUACUGUAAUCAAUUUCAGAGUAAUAAUGUUCCUGGUAGAUGUCUAUCAUUUAUAUAGAGAUAUCUUGUCUUUUUCAUGAAGCAAUAUAUUUUUAACUUGGAAUCUACUCUUCUCCCUCACCAGUUCCAGUAUUUUUCCAGUGUCAGGGUCUUUUUUAUUUUUUAUUUAGCAUUUAUGUUUUGUAAAUAUACAAAGCAAUUCUUCUUUUCUACUCUAUGUUCCAGAUUACAUUGUUGGAGAAAUUUGAAUAAUUGUUAAAAGACUAUCUAAAAUAAGGCUGUCAAAUAAAGCACUAACACCUC